Molecule: long non-coding RNA, 841 nt
Organism: Cyprinus carpio carpio
Lineage: Eukaryota; Metazoa; Chordata; Actinopteri; Cypriniformes; Cyprinidae
Source: Ensembl
UCCAGAUUCACUAUCAAAGUGUAGGUCCAAAGUCCCUGAAGUCAUUAGCAGCCUGCCAGUGCUCUGUUUGUAUAAACAAUCUCCUCUAACACCAAGCUGGGAGUGGCAGUAUGUCCGUACAUGUGGUAACAACUGGAGAAAGUCCACCACUUCUGAAUUUAAAAGAAGGAUAGGUUGUGGCCUGGAGGGCAAGCUAAGUGAUCAUUAUUUGAAUGAUCGAGUGUUCAAUGUCAGUUGUUCUUUUGGGGUUUACUGUUAAAUUUAUCUGUUUGGGGCUAAAAGUUGCUUUAAUUAUACUUCAGUUCCCGCACAGCUAUGUCCACACAAGUAUGUUCAAUCCUGAAGAAGCAUUGAUGGAUGAGUUUGAUACAUAUGCAGUACCAUAUAGUGGACUAUUCUGUCUCUCAACAUUCACCUUCACACAGUUUUGACCAGCUCUCCUCACAAUCUCUUCAACUCUCACUCCUUUCUAAGCUCUGUGGAAGAAGAGGAAGCCUUGAGCCUAGGAAGCACUGGAAGGACGAUAAGGAUAUCUGGAGUAAAGUGGAUUAUUCUGUAAAUCUUGCCCUCUGAGGACUGUACAGAGAAAUGCUGACAACUUUAUUUGGACAGCAAAAGAGAGAAGCCAUAUAAAUACAGAUUUCUAUAUUUGCAGAGCACACAAGAUCAGUUUCAUUCUCCAAAUACAACUGGAAAAGUCUAAUUUAUAGUAUUAACAUAUUAUGGCAUUGCACAAUGACAUACUGGCUGAUAUCAGUAGUGAAUUGAAUAUACUGUAUACUGAAUUUGUAUUUGUACAGUGUCACUAUGUAAAUACUUUUCCAAAGGUCAGGGAAUCAGG